UUAGCUUGCUAAUUUGCUGACGAGCGGCGGACGGGUGAGUAAUGCCUGGGAAUAUGCCUUAGUGUGGGGGAUAACUAUUGGAAACGAUAGCUAAUACCGCAUAACGUCUUCGGACCAAAGAGGGGGACCUUCGGGCCUCUCGCGCUAAGAUUAGCCCAGGUGGGAUUAGCUAGUUGGUGAGGUAAAGGCUCACCAAGGCAACGAUCCCUAGCUGGUCUGAGAGGAUGAUCAGCCACACUGGAACUGAGACACGGUCCAGACUCCUACGGGAGGCAGCAGUGGGGAAUAUUGCACAAUGGGGGAAACCCUGAUGCAGCCAUGCCGCGUGUAUGAAGAAGGCCUUCGGGUUGUAAAGUACUUUCAGUCGUGAGGAAGGCUUUGUAGUUAAUAGCUGCAUGGUUUGACGUUAGCGACAGAAGAAGCACCGGCUAACUCCGUGCCAGCAGCCGCGGUAAUACGGAGGGUGCGAGCGUUAAUCGGAAUUACUGGGCGUAAAGCGCAUGCAGGCGGUCUGUUAAGCAAGAUGUGAAAGCCCGGGGCUCAACCUCGGAACCGCAUUUUG
RNAcentral lists this ribosomal RNA (562 nucleotides) under Photobacterium sp. 4T3-2 S1-3. RNAcentral's name for it is "bacterial SSU rRNA". It matches the Rfam family "Bacterial small subunit ribosomal RNA", at positions 75 to 630 of the family's 1533-position model. The record is from RNAcentral. Lineage: Bacteria; Pseudomonadati; Pseudomonadota; Gammaproteobacteria; Vibrionales; Vibrionaceae.